CCUACGGGUGGCAGCAGUGGGGAAUAUUGGGCAAUGGGCGCAAGCCUGACCCAGCAACGCCGCGUGAAGGAAGAAGGCUUUCGGGUUGUAAACUUCUUUUGUCAGGGACGAAGCAAGUGACGGUACCUUAGGAAUAAGCCUCGGCUAACUACGUGCCAGCAGCCGCGGUAAUACGUAGGAGGCAAGCGUUAUCCGGAAUGACUGGGCGUAAAGGGUGCGUAGGUGGUUUGACAAGUUGGUAGCGUAACUCCGGAGCUCAACUUCGGAACUACUACCAAAACUGUUGGACUCGAGUGCAGGAGGGGCAACUGGAAUUUCUAGUGUAGCGGUGGAAUGCGUAGAUAUUAGGAAGAACACCGGUGGCGAAGGCGAGUUGCUGGACUGUAACUGACACUGAGGCACGAAAGCGUGGGGAGCAAACAGGAUUAGAUACCCUUGUAGUC
This 443-nucleotide ribosomal RNA is filed under the name uncultured bacterium. RNAcentral describes it as "partial 16S ribosomal RNA". It matches the Rfam family "Bacterial small subunit ribosomal RNA", at positions 338 to 795 of the family's 1533-position model. The record is from RNAcentral.